AUUGAACGCUGGCGGCAGGCCUAACACAUGCAAGUCGAGCGAGCGGCGGACGGGUGAGUAAUGUCUGGGAAACUGCCUGAUGGAGGGGGAUAACUACUGGAAACGGUAGCUAAUACCGCAUACCAUCAGAUGUGCCCAGAUGGGAUUAGCGAGGAGGUGGGGUAACGGCUCACCUAGGCGACGAUCCCUCGCUGGUCUGAGAGGAUGACCAGCCACAUGUGAACUGAGACCAGGGCCAGACUCCUACGGGAGGCAGCAGGGGGGAAUAUUGCACAAUGGGCGCAAGCCUGAUGCAGCCAUGCGGCGGUUGUGAAGAAGGCCUUCGGGUUGUAAAGCACUUUCAGCGGGGAGGCGUUACCCGCAGAAGAAGCACCGGCUAACUCCGUGCCAGCAGCCGCGGUAAUUC
This 406-nucleotide ribosomal RNA is filed under the name uncultured bacterium. Its description in RNAcentral is "partial 16S ribosomal RNA". It matches the Rfam family "Bacterial small subunit ribosomal RNA", at positions 29 to 526 of the family's 1533-position model. The record is from RNAcentral.